Molecule: non-coding RNA, 6777 nt
Organism: Gasterosteus aculeatus aculeatus (three-spined stickleback)
Lineage: Eukaryota; Metazoa; Chordata; Actinopteri; Perciformes; Gasterosteidae
Source: RefSeq, a predicted model, not a curated record
AGGGAAAUCUGGUUUUAAUUAGAAGAUCUUACUCGAUAAGAUUUUGAUGCCUGUUUUUUUUUUCAAUGAACUUCUACCGAAUUUAUGAAUGAAGGCUCUGGAAGAUCUGAUGAAACACCUAAGUCCGUCCCCAUUGGGAGGGAAGGUCUGACCGAGUAUGAAGCUCAUGGAGUCUACGCUCUGCAGCCAUCGUGAUCAGGGUGGAGUUUGGCUUCUCCCUCUUCUGGUUGGUUCUCUGUUAUCGUCAGCCCCGCCGACAGCCCCUCUUGUGUUUGAGUUCCCUCUGCAGCUCUGCCCCGUGUCCUGUUCCACCACACGUCCUGUUCCCAGGAAUAACAGUCAGGUGUCGACCUCAGAGGCGUGGACACUCAACUUUAGCACCGGGCCAACAAACGUUGCUGAGCGGCGAAUAUGGAAAGAAGGGGUGCAACAUUUAUCAAGUCUAUUCAUGUUAGAUGUGCUUGACACUUGAAAAUCCUGAAUCGGUCUCACAAAGGCGUAGCUUGAUUUUUCUUUUUUUUCUUUGGUUGGCUACAGAAAACGAGAAGUAUUUAGUGGUAGUGUAGCUCUUUAUUCUUAACAUUUCUGUCCUGUCUGUCCUAAAUCAACUAGCAACAUGCUCACAGUUAUUGCCCCUGAGGUUGCAAUCAUAGAGGCCUCAAUUUGGCAAGAAUAGACAGAAAAAAAAGUAGCGGCAAAAAUAACUCUCUCUCUUUCAGGGUACAUUGGGUACAUUGAGACGGACCUGAGGAAAAUAUAACCCUGUCAUUUUAGCUUUUCUUUACAAACCUCUCCCCACAAAAAGUUGUGUGAUGGUACAUUUGUUUAAAAAAGUAUUACUAUGUCAAUGUGUGUUGAUUUAAAAACAUUAUACAGUACUCUGGGAACCACAUGGAUACCACGUCAAGUACGAUGGACAUACGUAGUAUCUAGAUAUGCAUAUGUAAUAGCUCUAGAUAAUCCCAAACAUAAAAAAGUUGUUGUUCCUACAGUCAACUUUCUUUGUAUCAUCUUUGCGUCCCAUCCGUCCAAGCAUGUUCAAUUAUGAAGUGAAACACCUACACUUGAUUCGUUAACAGCUCUUUCGUCCAUUAAACACAGAACAGGUUCGUUAGCACAUCUCACAUAGAGAGAAGGUGAGUCAAUCACCCUUCCACUUCUACGAAAAGGAAGGUUGCUGCGGAAGCGUUGGACUUUCAGAAUGCUGUGCGAUUGUCAAUGAUCUCCCCUUGUGUUUGACACAAGAGGCCUUAUCUGCUCAGCCAACAAAUCUUAUCAAGACUGGUUAAUCAUUGAUCCGUCACGGCAAGUUGGAGGUUGUGAUAUCGGAAGGGGUCAUUUCUGAACCCUUUUUAUUCCGCUUAACAGGAUCCUCAAAGAACCCCGCAAAUCAGCCAAAUUCAGAGAGUGCUCUGAAUAGUUACGAUUUAAACGAGGUGUUUAGUUCCCCCCCCCGGUACAGUAUGUUCCUCCAUCUGAGCUGAGAUUACCAUGAGCUAAUUAAUCCUAAACACAAACUGAGCUUCGGCUGACUCCGUGUCCCAUGUUGUGUAAAUUGUACGGCCGUGCAUUUUUGAAUGCUUUAAGGAACAAGGGCGACGGUAGAGACGUGUUAAGACAACAAUGGAGGAUGGUGGCGAUUAAUACUUAUAGUAUUAACGCAGUAGACUUUAGCUUUGUAAAAUUACAUGGCAUACGGCCUACCAUAAUUUGACCUCAGAAGUCGACCUCUCACACACAGAGGUUUUGUAAAAAGAUUAGACCUCUGUGAAGGAUUCAGGAUACUCUUUUAGUGCAUGCGGACGUCCUUUAAGUAUCCUGUAUAUCGUUUUGGGUGCCCAGUUGUCCCGCUCGUGGUUGCGGUGCCCAGAUUUUAUUCAUGUCCCGCUUCCAACUCCAAUCAGCUGACAGAAGGUGUUAGUACUUUUCAUGUCGGAAAAUCUGAUAUUUUCACAGCCUCUGUGCGCCAAUUAUCUACAUACCUUUAAGAUCGUUUUUUUUUUUACUGUUUUACUGUUUGCACCACCAAUAGGAAAGCUGAAGCGCCGUAAAAUGUCCGGUGACAUACACACAUCAACAGCAUGCUUGCUGUGUUCCACAAGCUCUCAUAUUUUGUUUUGCGAUAGAAUAAUAAUAAUAAUAAUACAUACAAUAAUAUUACAUAAAGCACAAUAGCGGUCACAGAAGUACCUUUUGCAGUAUUAGUUUUGGCUACCGUUUUUUCAGGCUCAGUGGACGUGCUUUGUGCUGCAACACAAACAAGCUCAACAAGUUAAUUUCAGAAUAGUAGCUUUUCUUUUCUUCUAGAAGCUUAUCCAACAUUACUUAGUAUAAUAGAGAAGAAAAUAAAAGUAAAGCAAAGCUCAUUGAGUAUGUGUUAGACAUGAGGAGUGAAUUUGGGUGAGGUGGACCUCAAUAGGGGACUUAAGGUCAGGAGCUCGCAGCAGGAUCUUUCUGGGUUUAUGGUCUGUGGCUUGAAGUGAGUAAGACACGUACGCACAUCCGCAGCAAGUCCCUGGCUCGCUUUCAACAUCAGCACUCUGUUAAAAUGGUGAGAAAUGUGUCUAAUUAACGGAUCCAGUUCAACCUCUUGGUAUUUAGCAGCAUAGACUGUUCCCCCGUCUGCUCAUAUUUGUAUUAGUCACAGCGGCUGUCACGAUCACUUAUUUAAAGCGUACCAUUUAUCCUUCAGAAAGCAGGAUGUUUCAUAGAUUCAGACCCUUCCUGUUGUGGUGUUUACUCAGGACGUCUCCUCAUGCAUUAUGUGAGUGAACGCAAUUUGAGGUGAGUGCUCUGUUCUUCCCGGCACACUUACUUCUUUCACAUCUCAGGAGAGCUCAAGAGACAGUAAAAACAAAGAAGGCGGGGAUGCUCAGGCAGGGGGAAGAAAAGGACAGAAGACACUGGGAAGCCGCAGCGGAUGGUAAUGCUAAAAGAUUGCUCUCUUCACAUUUCACUUUUAACUUUAAAUAGUUUACUUACAAAGUGAUUGUUCACAUGUCUGGCCUCAGACACAAAUAAAAGCAGCAUUCGCUUACAGCAGUGUCAUUUUGUGUUGAGACAUCGGCAACAUCUGCAAGACGAGCAAAUGUGGCCAUUUAGCCGUUUUUUUGGGUGCAUCCAAAUAGAUAUUUUUCAGAUGACGAACUGCUUCUGUUUUUCGGACCAAGCCUGUGUUCGGGCUGAUCUACUUGCUCUACUUCUAUGGGUGUAGAUGAGUGUUUCAGGACCAUGGACAGAGGCUCAGACAAGUGCACAGUGUAAUUGAACGUUCUGCUGCUGGAGCCUCCCUCUUCCUCUUAACCUCAUCAUCACUAUGGUCACAGCAGGCGAUUAGAUUCAACAACAACAGACUGAAUCUGUUGGGGGAAUUAAUGUUGGUUGUAUUGAAUCUGACCAGAGUCCAGUUCUGUAUGUGUGGCCUUCACAGUUGGUGUGUGUCAUUGCGUCAGAGAGAGUAAUGUUCACGUAAUGUUCCCAGAAUUCUAGAACAGACCUAGAUAUGUGUUUAUUUCUGAACCUUGGUCUUUUCUUUCCAUAAGCAGCACACCGAGCAACGGUUUGUGCCCCAAACGUUUUGUUAUUUGCUUUCAUUCAGAUGCUUUGCUGGUUAUCCUGUUUUUCUAGACUUGGGACAAUCACAAUUUCACAGAUUCUGUCACAAUAGAAAAGAAUUGCACCAAAGCGGAAUUUGGGUUGCUGCACAACAAGCAGGACAAACGCUAAACCUGAAUCAGCUGCUGAAUUUCUCCCUCCCACAUGACGAAUCACUGGAUGACACACACUAUCUUUAGCUUGAUCACUCACCCCAGUGCCGAAAUGAGUUUGGGGAAGCGAAAAACACUUUCAAAUGGCCCCCCGUAGUUACUCAAUAGUUCUCCUUCGUGAGGAAAUACUGCAAGAAUUAUGCUGAAUUCACAGUUAAAAAGUGCAGAUGCAAAGUUAAAAAGAGGAUAUAUUUACUUGUAAAAAAGAACUCAUGUCUAACUUCGAGUCGAGUAAACUAUAAUAAUUGCCCCUGCUUUGAUCUUAUAUAUAGUAACUAUUUUUAAAUCCAUCAUAGUUUGAGAAAAUUGGCAGACGUACAAAAGGUACAUUUCCUCAGAAGUGAUCUUUGAACCGUAGGGCUUGAUACCGGCUGAUUGGGUACGACAAGGCUCCAACAGCCAUUGACCAUUGUUCACUCAAUCCGAUGCGGACUGCAUCAGUCCAUAGGGGAAGACUAUAUAGUCACAGCGAGUUCCCGUCACUCCUGCUAUUGCCUCUCUCGCGCGUCCGUGGGCUAACACUGAUACCUAAUCCUUCCCUUGCUCUAACAAGGGAAAUUAAAUGAUAGUUAAGGGCUCCAGCAUUACGCUAAAGUUCUACACACAUUCAGUACAUAAUAGAAAAUAGUCCGUGAAUGCAAAAAAAAGGCAACUAGACUCUACACAACUCUGGACGCACUUGCAUGUGACAGACAUCUUUUUCUUCUAUUUGCUGCUCUGGUAUCCAAGAAGAGGAGAGUCUACUUUAUCUUGUGUUUUGAAUGAACGAAAGAGGCAUUGAAUGUUAUUUGUCCAAUGGGAGUAAAUCCUCUCACACAAUCACUAUACAUACUCCUAACUAUUUUUUCCGUUUUGAUAAUAAAUAAAUAACUGCUGCUUUAAAAUACAUUUUAGUGACAACAGCAGGUGAAGGUUUUCAAGGGUUUGGAGUGUCAAUCAAGGGGUCUUAGACCCCACUGAGGCCCCCUGUCUUUGCACAAUGCAUAAGACCAUUCCGGUUUGUCUAACCACAUACCCACCAACGUCGUUACACAGCUCCACCGAGAGCUCACAGGUGACUGUCAACAUCAUGUAUUGCACCUGUGAAAAGACCCUUCGAUUUCUCAAAAGACAUCUCAUUCAGUUCAUUCGUUUCACUCUUCGUUCCUCUCUUCUUCCAGGUUCUGGGCACAGCAAAGCCUUCUGUUCAUCACUGGUUGGUCCGUGCCAGAGCCACUGCUCAUUACAGCCCCACAUCUGCACUCAAUAACAGGCCACACUCUGCAUGAAUAACGGCAGUGUUGCAAACAUGAGCGAAUGUCAGUGGAAGGCUUUAUUACUGCUUCUGGCAGAGAUGGAUGAGAAGGGGGGCCAACAAGAGAUCACACACAUUCUGCACCCCGCCUCUGUGAAAACAAAGCCUGUGGCAUUUAAGUAAGACUGGGAGACCGAAGCUUUAAUCUGACAGGCCACAGUGCACCCCAGACAGACCCGGGGAACAGCUGAAGAACGCGGCGGUGCCACACACACACGGGGGAAAGAGGAUGGUGCGAGACAACUUGUGUAAGGUUGAAGUUGCCCGCGGGGGGAUCUGGGCUCGUCUUCGCUUCGGGCCGGGCAUGUUCCUCGAAUCCCGACCCCAGGAAUUCCACGGCCCGUCAGAACUUUUAUUUCUAGUCCUACCUUGCGGCAUUUGCCAAAACACACAAUUCACUGAUCUCCUGCCGGCCAGAGGAGGGAAAUAGCUUCUAACGCUCAGGUAUUUGCUCUCAUGCAAAGUCCGGUUAGAAAGAAUUUGCUGCCGGCAACUAUUUCUCCACCACUCAUACGUACUGAUAAAGCACAAUCAGAUAAAGAAGCUCAGGGUCUCUCAUGGAAACGAUGGUGCCAAGAGUAAUUUUGAACUAUUUGAAAAAUGUUGUUUUUAAAUCCAUUGAUUUAUUAUAUAUAAAGCGUCAGCUUCAGGGCGGCUACCGCUGUCUGUGUCAGAAGCUUUUUGGGAACAGCUUUGGAAGUGAAACUCUCAGUAAACUGUGCCGGGGGUCAGUGCAGCCACACGAGGACAGCUGAGGGUACAUAAGGAAACGCACCGCCUCAUAUGGAAAACAACUUUAACAUUGUUGACACAAUUGAUUGUCUAGCAAGAACCGCGUAUUUAAUGAUGCUGGGACGCCCGGGCCUUGAGGCUGUAAAAAUGGUGUUUAUUUUAUGAUCUGGCGCAAAAGAGAGAGUGUCUCAGUGUAUAAGUAUGUCUUGCACAUGUAACACGAUGUGCCAAAUGUGUCACAGCACAUUAGGAUCUUAUUUAUUGUAUAUCCACAAAACCUUUGGGGUAAUAUCAUAUUUUUUAUAUAUUGUAUGCAUUCCUCUGCCUCAAUGUGUCCCUGCUAUGUUGCAAACGGACGAUAAACAGUAACUCAAUUACCUCAGUGACCCGGGAAAAUACGAUCACUUAAUGAUUAUGAGGGAAAGAAUAGGUAGUCGGAUGGGAGUGAAGUGAUAUAUGAGAGGGUAGACAAUAAAGCUAUUUGGAUCAUAACAGCGGUGGGGUGGCUUCUUAGGUCACGUUUCAGCACACUAUUUUUACGCUUUUUGUCAGCUCCCACUGCCAGUAUAAAGUACUUAAACUUUGGGAAAACCCCAAUAGUGAAGAAGCCACACAAAGCAGGGAAAUAUUACAUGUAUUUUGAUGUUGAAGGGAACAAAGGGGUGUUUUUUCCUACCAAGUGUUGUUUUUGUGGUGGUCUUGCUGGCUCAUUUUUCACACGUACAAUGGACAUAGUAAAUGAUGAAAAAAAGUGUUAUUGUGCACUUUAAUCUGCCUGUUUUCAGCUCUUCUCCCCCUCAUCCUUCCCCCCCCCCCUUCGACAAACCCGUUGCAGAUGACACAUGGGAGCUGAGCUGGCAGACACAUCAUCCCUUAUUAUUACACAGACCCUCCGGACUCUCCAUGCAGGGGACACAGAUGAGCAGGUCAUGCUGCUGGAAUGUGGACUGGGACAGGUGGAAAGGAACAUUCAGGGGGAGGGGG